Molecule: ribosomal RNA, 274 nt
Filed under: uncultured bacterium
Lineage: Bacteria
Description: partial 16S ribosomal RNA
Rfam family: Bacterial small subunit ribosomal RNA
Source: RNAcentral
AUACGGAGGGUGCAAGCGUUAUCCGGAAUCAUUGGGUUUAAAGGGUCCGCAGGCGGAUUGAUAAGUCAGUGGUGAAAUCCUCUCGCUCAACGAGAGAACUGCCAUUGAAACUGUUAGUCUUGAAUUCGGUCGAAGUAGGCGGAAUGUGUCAUGUAGCGGUGAAAUGCAUAGAUAUGACACAGAACACCGAUAGCGAAGGCAGCUUACUAGACCUGGAUUGACGCUCAUGGACGAAAGCGUGGGGAGCGAACAGGAUUAGAAACCCGAGUAGUCC